This 472-nucleotide ribosomal RNA is filed under the name Streptococcus constellatus. RNAcentral describes it as "bacterial SSU rRNA". It matches the Rfam family "Bacterial small subunit ribosomal RNA", at positions 28 to 474 of the family's 1533-position model. Lineage: Bacteria; Bacillati; Bacillota; Bacilli; Lactobacillales; Streptococcaceae. The record is from RNAcentral.
GACGAACGCUGGCGGCGUGCCUAAUACAUGCAAGUAGAACGCACAGGAUGCACCGUAGUUUACUACACCGUAUUCUGUGAGUUGCGAACGGGUGAGUAACGCGUAGGUAACCUGCCUGGUAGCGGGGGAUAACUAUUGGAAACGAUAGCUAAUACCGUAUAAGAACAUUUACUGCAUGGUAGAUGUUUAAAAGGUGCAAGAGCAUCACUACCAGAUGGACCUGCGUUGUAUUAGCUAGUUGGUGAGGUAACGGCUCACCAAGGCAACGAUACAUAGCCGACCUGAGAGGGUGAUCGGCCACACUGGGACUGAGACACGGCCCAGACUCCUACGGGAGGCAGCAGUAGGGAAUCUUCGGCAAUGGGGGGAACCCUGACCGAGCAACGCCGCGUGAGUGAAGAAGGUUUUCGGAUCGUAAAGCUCUGUUGUUAAGGAAGAACGUGUGUGAGAGUGGAAAGUUCACACAGUGACG